This 908-nucleotide ribosomal RNA is filed under the name uncultured Bacillota bacterium. Its description in RNAcentral is "bacterial SSU rRNA". It matches the Rfam family "Bacterial small subunit ribosomal RNA", at positions 1 to 917 of the family's 1533-position model. The record is from RNAcentral. Lineage: Bacteria; Bacillati; Bacillota.
UGGAUCCAGACUUUGAUCAUGGCUCAGGAUAAGCGCUGGCGGCGCACAUAAGACAUGCAAGUCGAACGAACUUAAUUCAUUCUUUUAGAUUGAAAGCGGUUAGUGGCGGACUGGUGAGUAACACGUAAGCAAUCUGCCUAUCAGAGGGGAAUAACAGUGAGAAAUCAUUGCUAAUACCGCAUAUGCUAACAGUAUCGCAUGACACAGUUAGGAAAGGAGCAAUCCGCUGAUAGAUGAGCUUGCGUCUGAUUAGCUAGUUGGUGGGGUAACGGCCUACCAAGGCGACGAUCAGUAGCCGGACUGAGAGGUUGAACGGCCACAUUGGACUGAGAUACGGCCCAGACUCCUACGGGAGGCAGCAGUCGGGAAUAUUGCGCAAUGGAGGAAACUCUGACGCAGUGACGCCGCGUAUAGGAAGAAGGUUUUCGGAUUGUAAACUAUUGUCGUUAGGGAAGAUACAAGACAGUACCUAAGGAGGAAGCCCCGGCUAACUAUGUGCCAGCAGCCGCGGUAAUACAUAGGGGGCAAGCGUUAUCCGGAAUUAUUGGGUGUAAAGGGUGCGUAGAUGGAGAAGCAAGUUGGUUGUGAAAUCCCUCGGCUCAACUGAGGAACUGCAACCAAAACUACUUCCCUUGAGUGUCGGAGAGGAAAGUGGAAUUCCUAGUGUAGCGGUGAAAUGCGUAGAUAUUAGGAGGAACACCAGUGGCGAAGGCGACUUUCUGGACGAUAACUGACAUUGAGGCACGAAAGUGUGGGGAGCAAACAGGAUUAGAUACCCUGGUAGUCCACACUGUAAACGAUGGAUACUAGGUGUAGGGUGUAUUAAGCACUCUGUGCCGCCGCUAACGCAUUAAGUAUCCCACCUGGGGAGUACGACCGCAAGGUUGCAACUCAAAUGAAUUGACGGA